RNAcentral lists this transfer RNA (69 nucleotides) under Cavia porcellus (domestic guinea pig). It matches the Rfam family "tRNA". From Rfam's summary of the family: Transfer RNA (tRNA) molecules are approximately 80 nucleotides in length. Their secondary structure includes four short double-helical elements and three loops (D, anti-codon, and T loops). Further hydrogen bonds mediate the characteristic L-shaped molecular structure. tRNAs have two regions of fundamental functional importance: the anti-codon, which is responsible for specific mRNA codon recognition, and the 3' end, to which the tRNAs corresponding amino acid is attached (by aminoacyl-tRNA synthetases). tRNAs cope with the degeneracy of the genetic code in two manners: having more than one tRNA (with a specific anti-codon) for a particular amino acid; and 'wobble' base-pairing, i.e. permitting non-standard base-pairing at the 3rd anti-codon position. The record is from Rfam by way of RNAcentral. Lineage: Eukaryota; Metazoa; Chordata; Mammalia; Rodentia; Caviidae.
GGAGAUGUGGCUUAGUGGCAGAGCUCUUGCCUUGCAUGCAGAAUGCCCUGGGUUCAAUCCCCAGCACCA